This 745-nucleotide small RNA is filed under the name Pongo abelii (Sumatran orangutan). RNAcentral's name for it is "sense overlapping". The record is from RNAcentral. Lineage: Eukaryota; Metazoa; Chordata; Mammalia; Primates; Hominidae.
AGUAACACUCUGGAAGGGCUCAAACCACAUAACCAAAUGUGCCAAGAUAAUCCUGAGAUCGCUCAUGUCAGUCCUGAAGAUUUUCCUCAGAGAAUUUUUCAUCUCUUUGUUCCUGAGACUAUAUAUUAGAGGAUUGCAGAGAGGUGUUAUCACAGAAUAGAAAAAGGCUUUUCUGAUCCAAGAUCUCGAGUUGUUCAAAUCCAUGCGGUGGGACCACACUCAAGAAAAAGUCCAGGGUAAGCUUUCCAUCUAGAAUGAUACCUUAACCACCAGUGAAACAGGCAAGGUCAAUUUUCAUUGAUUCAAAUUAUAUUCAAAGUGGAUUUUUAUCUGAGAUCUACAACUUAUGAAGAAUAUAAGUGAUAUAUAUAUAAGUGAUUAUAUGUGUAAUAUAUAUAAGUGAUAUAUAUUCUUUUCUACUCUUCAUGUAUGGAAUAAAAGGGCUUGCACAGUAGUAAGAAAAAAAUGGCUUAGGCCCACAGGAACAAAGAAACAGGACAGGAGUUAGAUGCAGAGAAGAGAUUUCAACAAAAGUUUGGAAAAGAUGCUAACGGUAGCAUAUGAGUCACAGACAGAAUAUUGGCACCUUUUUUUUAAGAAACUGAAUGUUAAUGUCACAUCUGCCUUUGGAGAUUACAAAUGAAAUGGCUACCUUUCUACUGGAACUCUGACCAGAAGCCUGCCAAUUAGUAAGCUGGCUUAAGAGAUCAAUCUAAAAUUUACAUAAGGCUUUUGAAAAAAAGAA